RNAcentral lists this unclassified non-coding RNA (355 nucleotides) under Penaeus chinensis. RNAcentral's name for it is "uncharacterized LOC125047702, transcript variant X2". Lineage: Eukaryota; Metazoa; Arthropoda; Malacostraca; Decapoda; Penaeidae. The record is from RNAcentral.
CGGCAUGCUGCCUUCUCUCUGUGACACACCUUUGUGAUGUGAAGCCCCCUGGAACCAGCCACCUGGGGCCCAGAGCUGCUUGCUGGGGUUCCACAAGAGGAUUCAGAACAAGGCCUUCAUGGCACAGAUCUUGCCAAGGUUGCAGGUUAGGAGGCGGCACAUAGUGUGAGAAAUUCCCGGUAGGAGGUACAGCAGAUGAUUCUUGUACUACAGGGCAGGGAGGAGAAAGAUGACAGGACCAUCUGUGAAGAAUGCCAAGUGUUGCUGUGUACCUACAGCUGCUUUGAGUGAUAAUACUCUCAAAGAGACUUGUAACACAUCGCUAUAUACAUAGUAAUAAAUUUAGAUGGUAUUA